AAUAGAUACCCAGGUAGUCCACGCCGUAAACGAUGAGUGCUAAGUGUUAGGGGGUUUCCGCCCCUUAGUGCUGCAGCUAACGCAUUAAGCACUCCGCCUGGGGAGUACGGCCGCAAGGCUGAAACUCAAAGGAAUUGACGGGGGCCCGCACAAGCGGUGGAGCAUGUGGUUUAAUUCGAAGCAACGCGAAGAACCUUACCAGGUCUUGACAUCUCCUGACCCCCCUGGAGACAGGGUCUUCCCUUCGGGGACAGGAUGACAGGUGGUGCAUGGUUGUCGUCAGCUCGUGUCGUGAGAUGUUGGGUUAAGUCCCGCAACGAGCGCAACCCUUGUCCUUAGUUGCCAGCAUUCAGUUGGGCACUCUAAGGAGACUGCCGGCUAAAAGUCGGAGGAAGGUGGGGAUGACGUCAAAUCAUCAUGCCCCUUAUGACCUGGGCUACACACGUGCUACAAUGGGCGGUACAGAGGGUCGCGAACCCGCGAGGGGGAGCCAAAUCCCAAAAAAACCGCUCUCAGUUCGGAUUGCAGGCUGCAACUCG
RNAcentral lists this ribosomal RNA (539 nucleotides) under uncultured bacterium. Its description in RNAcentral is "bacterial SSU rRNA". It matches the Rfam family "Bacterial small subunit ribosomal RNA", at positions 777 to 1314 of the family's 1533-position model. The record is from RNAcentral.